This 30-nucleotide non-coding RNA is filed under the name Cricetulus griseus (Chinese hamster). The record is from RNAcentral. Lineage: Eukaryota; Metazoa; Chordata; Mammalia; Rodentia; Cricetidae.
ACAUCAGUGCUUUGACAGGAGGAGCUGCUC